RNAcentral lists this ribosomal RNA (1341 nucleotides) under uncultured bacterium. RNAcentral describes it as "16S ribosomal RNA". It matches the Rfam family "Bacterial small subunit ribosomal RNA", at positions 13 to 1373 of the family's 1533-position model. The record is from RNAcentral.
UUGAUCCUGGCUCACGACGAACGCUGGCGGCGUGCCUAACACAUGCAAGUCGAGCGAGUGGAGUUCUUCGGAACAAAGCUAGCGGCGGACGGGUGAGUAACACGUGGGCAACCUGCCUCAUAGAGGGGAAUAGCCUCCCGAAAGGGAGAUUAAUACCGCAUAAGAUUGUAGCUUCGCAUGAAGUAGCAAUUAAAGGAGCAAUCCGCUAUGAGAUGGGCCCGCGGCGCAUUAGCUAGUUGGUGGGGUAACGGCUCACCAAGGCGACGAUGCGUAGCCGACCUGAGAGGGUGAUCGGCCACAUUGGGACUGAGACACGGCCCAGACUCCUACGGGAGGCAGCAGUGGGGAAUAUCGCACAAUGGGGGAAACCCUGAUGCAGCAACGCCGCGUGAGUGAUGACGGCCUUCGGGUUGUAAAGCUCUGUCUUCAGGGACGAUAAUGACGGUACCUGAGGAGGAAGCCACGGCUAACUACGUGCCAGCAGCCGCGGUAAUACGUAGGUGGCGAGCGUUGUCCGGAUUUACUGGGCGUAAAGGGAGCGUAGGCGGACUUUUAAGUGAGAUGUGAAAUACCCGGGCUCAACUUGGGUGCUGCAUUUCAAACUGGAAGUCUAGAGUGCAGGAGAGGAGAAUGGAAUUCCUAGUGUAGCGGUGAAAUGCGUAGAGAUUAGGAAGAACACCAGUGGCGAAGGCGAUUCUCUGGACUGUAACUGACGCUGAGGCUCGAAAGCGUGGGGGAGCAACAGGAUUAGAUACCCUGGUAGUCGCACGCCGUAAACGAUGAAUACUAGGUGUAGGGGUUGUCAUGACUCCUGGACCGCCGUAGACGCAUUAAGUAUUCCGCCUGGGGAGUACGGUCGCAAGAUUAAUACUCAAAGGAAUUGACGGGGGCCCGCACAAGCAGCGGAGCAUGUGGUUUAGUUCGAAGCAACGCGAAGAACCUUACCUAGACUUGACAUCUCCUGCAUUACCCUUAAUCGGGGAAGUUCCUUCGGGGACAGGAAGACAGGUGGUGCAUGGUUGUCGUCAGCUCGUGUCGUGAGAUGUUGGGUUAAGUCCCGCAACGAGCGCAACCCUUAUUGUUAGUUGCUACCAUUUAGUUGAGCACUCUAGCGAGACUGCCCGGGUUAACCGGGAGGAAGGUGGGGAUGACGUCAAAUCAUCAUGCCCCUUAUGUCUAGGGCUACACACGUGCUACAAUGGCAAGUACAAAGAGAAGCAAGACCGCGAGGUGGAGCAAAACUCAAAAACUUGUCUCAGUUCGGAUUGUAGGCUGAAACUCGCCUACAUGAAGCUGGAGUUGCUAGUAAUCGCGAAUCAGCAUGUCGCGGUGAAUACGUUC